AGUUUGAUCUGGCUCAGGAUGAACGCUGGCGGCGUGCCUAAUACAUGCAAGUCGAGCGAGGUAGCUUGCUACCUAGCGGCGAACGGGUGAGUAACACGUAGGUAACCUGCCUUGAGACUGGGAUACCCGAGCGAAAGUUCGGCUAAUACCGGAUAACAACGGGGACGGCAUCGUCUCCGCUUGAAAGGUGCGUUUGCACCACUCUUAGAUGGACCUGCGGCACAUUAGCUAGUUGGUGAGAUAACAGCCCACCAAGGCAAGGAUGUGUAGCCGACCUGAGAGGGUGACCGGCCACAAUGGGACUGAGACACGGCCCAUACUCCUACGGGAGGCAGCAGUAGGGAGUUUUCGGCAAUGGGCGAAAGCCUGACCGAGCAACGCCGCGUGAGUGAUGAAGGUCUUCGGAUUGUAAAGCUCUGUUACGAGGGACGAAUUACCGGGUCAGGAAAUGGGCCCGGCUUGACGGUACCUCGCCAGAAAGUGACGGCUAACUACGUGCCAGCAGCCGC
This 509-nucleotide ribosomal RNA is filed under the name uncultured bacterium. Its description in RNAcentral is "bacterial SSU rRNA". It matches the Rfam family "Bacterial small subunit ribosomal RNA", at positions 10 to 518 of the family's 1533-position model. The record is from RNAcentral.